Molecule: ribosomal RNA, 497 nt
Filed under: uncultured bacterium
Lineage: Bacteria
Description: partial 16S ribosomal RNA
Rfam family: Bacterial small subunit ribosomal RNA
Source: RNAcentral
GAUGAACUCUGGCGGCGUGCCUAAUACAUGCAAGUCGAGCGAACAGACGAGGACCUUGCUGCUCUGACGGUAGCGGCGGACGGGUGAGUAACACGUGGAUAACCUACCUAUAAGACUGGGAUAACUUCGGGAAACCGGAGCUAAUACCGGAUAAUAUAUUGAACCGCAUGGUUCAAUAGUGAAAGACGGUUUUGCUGUCACUUAUAGAUGGAUCCGCGCCGCAUUAGCUAGUUGGUAAGGUAACGGCUUACCAAGGCAACGAUGCGUAGCCGACCUGAGAGGGUGAUCGGCCACCAUAGAGCUGAGACGCGAUCCAGAAUACUACGGGAGGCAGCAGUAGGGAAUCUUACGCAAUGGGCGGAGGACUGACGAAGCAACGCCGCGGGGUUGAUGAAGGUCUUCGGAGCGUAAAACUCUGCUAUUAGGGAAGAACAAGUGUGUAAGUAACUGUGCACGUCUUGACGGUACCUAAUCAGAAAGCCACGGCUAACUACGUG